GUGGAGCCUGGCGACUGCUUUGGGAAGUCCUGCUGGCAGGCACUCUGCCCCUGGGGGUGUGCAAAGAGUUGUCCAGUUACCUUGAUCUUCUCACAGCCUCCUCCCCAGGGCACCAGGAGAGACCAGGAUUGGAGGACGGUAAAGAACACACUUCCCAGAGGAUUCUUGGAGGUAGAGUCAACAGGAAGGGGUGGUGAGACCUGCACAGACCUGCUCUGUCCCCUGGGCCUGGUGACAGAUGACCUGGAUGUUGGGUGCAGCUGGGCAGGGACUGCAAUUCUGUGUGUCCCUUUUUCUGGGAGCCACAGGAAACCCAUGCCCUAAUCCACAUCAGACUACCACUUGUCCUUAUCCUCCAAACGCAGCAAAAUAUUACACAAGGUCCAGGGCAAGGCAGGAUGGCCACCUCGCUCACUCAUCACAGCUGUCCUCUGACCUGAGCAGGGCCGUUCUGUCUCAGACCUGGAGACCCCGCACUCAGGGCGUUCAGGAACUCCCCGACCCACCAGGAGCCUCUCCUGGUGUCUCCCAGGGAUUGUCAAUAGUUCCAUUUUCCUUGAAGAACUUGUUUUCAGGUAUGCACUUCUCUAAACACGUAUGCAUUAUUUUUUCUAUUUUAAAUUUAACCACGUUGUUUUAUUUUUAAUCACAUCUACACUUUGUAAAUUUGGAAACGGAGUGAUUUUCCAUGUUCAGUAAUGAUAGCAAGCUUCCUUUUAAAAUACGUUUUACUUUUUAUCUUCUUUUUUUUUUUUUUUUGAGAUGGGGUCUCCCUGUGUCGCCCAGGUUGGAGUGCGGUGGCCGAUCUCGGCUCACUGUAACCUCCGCCUCCCGGGUUCAAGUGAUUCUCCUGCCUCAGCCUCCUAAGUAGCAGGACUACAGGCACACGCCAUCACGCCUGGCUGAUUUGUGUAUUUUUAGUAGAGACAGGGUGUCACCACGUUGGCCAGGAUGGUCUCGAUCUCCUGAUCUCAUGAUCCACCCGCCUCGGCCUCCCAAAGUGCUGGGAUUACAGGCAUGAGCCACCGCACUGGGCCUAAAAUAUGUUUUUUAAGGAAACAAACAAAAAGCAAGUCAGUGUGAUGAGGUGGUAAAUAUAGGACAAAAAAUCAUGAAGGUGUUUCUCAAAUGAGAAAAUUAGAAAAAAACUGUAUCUCACCUUUCCCCCUACCUUACACAUGGGCGAGUGGCAAAUGUUUAUUGAACAAUUGCACAUGUAAGCACCCUGCCAGGUCGUCUUUACAUCCCCAACCACGUUACAAGGUGGAUGUGAUGAUCCCUGUUGGUGAGGACACGGGAGCUCAGGGAAGCCAGCCCAAGGCUACAGAGCCAGCAUUGCACAGUCAGAUAUCAGUGAGGGAGAAGGAAAAGAAAAAUCAUUUGGGAAAAAGUCAGACUGCAGAAGCAGUCGGCCUGAAUAGUCACAGCAACAGGCAGAAAUAAAACAACCUGGGAAAACACUCAGGCUGUACCUGGACAGAUAAACAAGCAAUGUCCAGCCCAGAAUCUCUUUGUUCUUUGUAAUUAGUGAGCUCCCAGGAAAAAUUUCCUCCCCUUUUCAGGCAUAUACAUGAUGAGAACUUGCACAAGGGGGAGGGAGCUUACCUAAAACAAACCCACAGUUAUACAAACAAGAGAAGCUGUACUUUGUGCUUGCCUAGAGACAUACCCACGGCCGCAUAAGAGAAGGGGAGUUGCACAGACACCUUUACUGAUAAGAAAAGUUACCCAAAUAAUUACAGGGAGGAGAGCAGUUUCUUGUAAAAAGCUUUUGAGGCUGGGUGCAGUGGCUCAUGCCUGUAAUCCCAGCACUUCGGGAGGCCAAGGCGGACAGAUCACCUGAGGUCAGGAGUUCAAGACCAGCCUGGCCAACAUCGUGAAACCCAGUCUCUACUAAAAAUACAAAAAUUAGCCGGGUGUGGUGGCACGUACCUGUAAUCCCAACUACUCGGGAGGCUGAGGGAGGAGAUUGGCUUGAACCGGGGAGAUGAAGGUGGCAGUGAGCCGAGAUGACGCCACUGCACUCUAGCCUGGGAGACAGAGCAAGACUCCAUGUCAAAAAAAAAAAAAAAAAAAAAGCUUUUGAAUUCAGCUGUAAACUGGCAGUCCACUUGCACUCCCCUCUCCACUGCAGAGAGUUUUCUUCUUUCACUUAUUAAAUUUUUGCUCCAACCCCAAGUUUGUGUCCAAGUUCCUUAAUUUUCUUGGAUUUAGGACACAGAACCCAGGAUACUAGUUCAGACAAUGAGGAACUGCUAGGUUAAGGUGCAUUGGUGAGACUGCAACAUCAGGACCUGGGUUUUCCUGAAGGUUGGAGGGAGAGAAAAGCCAGUUCCCUGGCUUAAUCUCUGUGGUUGGCCACCACCCACUUAAGUUUCAAGCCACAUAGGAUCAAAUCCACAGAGACGACGUUCAGGAAUAGAAGCCUGAGCUCAACCACAGCAGUGUGGUGAUAGGAAUGAGAGAGUGGGGAGAUGCCACAAUAUCCAGUUAUAUGUAGAAAAAGGCUAUUGUGUCAGCAGAUUUUAUAGAAAGGGCUGGAAUGAACAGGCUGCCACACACUGUCUCUGCAGGAACAAGAUUCGCAAGGAUACAAACAAAUGCAUUUAUAGGAACUCACUAGGCAACAGCAAUACCAUUGCAUUGAUAGGUGUGCAGACAUGUUUGUGCAGGGAGUAGAGAGAGAAGAUGGGUAGCCAAGGAGAGAGAGAGAACAGCAAAUCCCAGUGUUUCUUUCAGCACAACCUCUCAGGAACUCAUAAUUAAUGCAUUAAUUCUCACACCCCUGUUUCUGGACUUUUGUGUGUUUCCUCACACUUCCUUUGAUCUCAUUUUCCAAAGGAUAAAUGAAGUCUAAUGGAGAUAAAGCACUGACAUUUACAGAGGGUUAGAGACUAAUGAUAUUAAUGACAUUCUUGUGGUUUGUCCAACAUUAUUUUUGUGCAGAUUUCAAUUCAUGCUGCACUCAUCCUGGGGGCAAAAGUUAAAGGUUUUCUAAAAAGCUACUUAGUGAAUGUCUUAGUUAAUGGAAAAGAAAAUAAGUCAAUCCUUUUUUUUCUAACCUUGAAGUUGCAAAGAUUGACAAUGAACUCUGUAAUGGUGCAUUCUCCUCUUGUGUGGUUUUUGAAAGCUGAGUUAUCCUUCCUGUAAUGAUUCUGCACCUGCAAACUAUACGUGGCUUCCUCCAGGCAGUAAAUCUACAGCCCAGGCUCCCUGCAUCUUAUGGCUCCAAUCACUUUGGAUCUCAUCGUCGCCUGCACAUUGCCAUACACAGGGAAGGAGAAGAGAUGGAGAAGGCAAAGACUUUCUGAAAGCCGUGGCUAAAAGCUGGCAUGUGUCACAUCAGCUCACAUUCCAUUGUAGAGACGGGGUUUCACCGUGUUAGCCAGGAUGGUCUUGAUAUCCUGACCUCGUGAUCCGCCCGCCUUGGCUUCCCAAAGUGCUGGGAUUACAGGCGUGAGCCACCGCUCCCGGCCUGGCAGGCAUUCUUGAGGCAAACGGGAAAUGGGUGAACGGGAGGAACAUUGGCAGCACUUGUGGUCUGCACCAAGAACUGAAUCGAAUUUCCAUGUGUUAUUGAAUGUUCACAAAGACCUUGUACAGCGAGUGUUACUACCUCUGGUCAAUGAUUCAACUCAAGGCUCAGAAAAGUCAAGUGUCUUGUCCAGGGACACUUAGUCAGAAGUGAAUCCAAGGUUUAAGCUCAAGUCUGCCUAACUCUGAAUUUCACAGCCUUUUGCUACAUAUGGCGAAUAAUAUAUCCCUGAGCACUAAAGGCAGACUCCAAGGAUCUUGUCUCUGCAAUCAUCAUUCUGGCCAUAAUUUAUGAAAAGCAACCCAAAGUAUGUGAUGUAAUAAAAAGUACUAUCUAUGAGUUUACCCUUCCAAAAAUUGAACUGAAUUCUGAGCUCUAAAUUUGGAAUCAAAAGAACUUUUCUCUGCACUAAUCAUUUGGAACAUCACUUAAAGAAAACAACGAAAAACUGGUGUCCCCUGAGAGAAAGCAAUACAAAACAUUAUGCAUAAAGAAAUCCUUCCAAAAAAUAAACCAAAUCCAGUCAAAUCUCUAGUUUUGACUCCUAGCUUACCGGAAAUACGUGAUGGGAAAAAAAUGAAAUGACACCACUAUGAUUCAAUCAGCCAAAUCCAGCAUAUGCAAAUUUCUACCAGAUAAAUGGUUUAGUUUCUUCCCCAAACAAAUGGCACAAGGAAACGGAGGUAAGAAUGGGAUGCUGUUAUAGAUUUUAAAAGAUUUAAGAAAGUAUAAACUAAAUACACUAUGUGCAUCCUCUCUGAACGUGCUUCAAACAUAUCAAGGGGUCAAUGAGCAGUUUUGAAACAAUAAGGGAAUUUGAACACUGAAUGGUUGUCAGAAGAUAGUAAGAGAUCAUUAUUAAUUUUACUAGACAUAAUGAUGUUCUGAUUUUGUUUUUUUUUUAAAAAAAAAACAGUGUUAUUUCCUUUAUAGAUACAUCAUAUAGUAUUAACUAAUGAAAUGCUUUGAUAUCUGGAACGUUUAAAAAAUAUUCCCGAUGGAGUAAGUGCAAAGAAACAGGUAAGCAAAAUGCUGAUAAUUGCUGAAACACAGGAUGUGUACCUGGGGCUUCAUUUACUAUCUCUUCAUUUUCUAUUUUGAUAUUUGUUGGACAUUCUCAUAAAAAGGAAAGUUAUGUUUUAUUUUCUCAUAAGCUAGUAAUGAAAUAGCCCUACGUAACUGAUAUUGUAGAGACAAGAAUAGGUGUAAUAGAGCUUAAGGUUUUCAUUUAAAAAACUAUCUGUAGACUUCAAUGGAUCUUAGGUGGCAUCCAUGCAAUAACACUCGUGGAACAUGCAGGACAGGUGUGGAGCUCCAUCUUCACACAGUGACAUUUUUUAUGCUUCUGUUUUCCCUAAGAGUGGAGUGAGAGGAUGAUUAUUUUAUAUCAUGGACUUCUUCCCUGCUAUACUUUUUUUAAUUAUUUUACUUUCACUUCUGGGAUACAUGUGCUGAGCAUGCAGGCUUGUUUACAUAGGUAUACAUCUGCCAUGGUGGUUUGCUGCACCUAUCAACCCAUCAUACAGGUUUUAAGCCCUGCAUGCAUUAGGUAUUCGCCCUAAUGCUCUCCCUCGCCUUUCCCCCCACCCCCUGAUAGCCCCCAGUGAGUCAUAUUCCCCUCCCUGUGUCCAUGUGUUCUCAUUGUUCAACUCCCAUUUAUGAGUGAGAAUAUGUGGUGUUUAGUUUUCUGUUCCUGUGUUAGUUUGCUGAGAAUGAUGUUUUCCAGCUUCAUCCAUGUCCCUGAAAAGGACAUGAGCUCAUUCUUUUUUAUGGCUGCAUAGUAUUCCACGGUGUUAUAUGUGCCACAUUUUCUUAAUCCAGUCUGUCAUUGAUGGACAUUUGGGUUGUUUCCAAGUCUUUGCUAUUGUAAAUAGUGCUGCAAUAAACAUAUGUGUGCAUGUGUCUUUGUAGUAGAAUGAUUUAUAAUCCUUUGGGUAUAUGCCCAGUAAUGGGACUGAUGGGUCAAAUGGUAUUUCUGGUUCUAGAUCCUUGAGGAAUUGCCACACUGUCUUCCACAAUGGUUGAACUAAUUUAUACUCCCACCAACAGGGUAAAAGCAUUCCUAUUUCUCCACAUCCUCUCCAGCAUCUGUUGUUUCCAAAUGUUUUAAUGAUUGCCAUUCCACCUGGCGUGAGAUGGUAUCUCAUUGUGGUUUUGAUUUUCAUUUCUCUAAUGACCAGUGAUGAUAAGCUUUUUUUCAUAUGUUUGUUGGCCACAUAAAUGUCUUCUUUUGACUUUUAUGUGGAAACAAAUUUAACUGCACAGAGAGGUGAAAAUUAAUUAAUAACUUUUAAAGUAAUUCCCUAAGUUUCUAAGGAUCUAUAUGUUUCCAUCUGACUUUAUUUUAUUUAAGCUCUUGAUUGAUGCUGCAUUUGGAGCAGGUUCAUGAACAUGAAUAGAGUUAAUCUGGGACAGAUUUCCCUCAUUUGAUUUUUUCACUGUUUCCAUCACAGAACUUAUUUCAUGCUCACCAUGUUUGCAGGCAUUGAGCUUGGUACUGGAGCCACAGAGCUGGAUCAGACAGACUUGUGCAAAUAUUUCAGGUUUUUUUUGUGGGGGGGUCAUAUUUAUAGAUAAAUAACAGUAAAGAGUGACGGGUUCUUAUGAAAAUGCAUACACAGUGAAGUAGAGGGUGAAAAGGAGGGAUGUGUUCUAUGAGGAGGAAGAGUGAUAAGAAAGUGUAAGGGGAUGUGUCUGUGUCUAGACAUAUGUGUGUUCACGUGUGUGCGUGCUUGUGUGUACUGCAUGUGUAUAUGUGUGGCCAUGCACCUGUGUGCAUGUUCAUGUGUGUGUGUGUAUGUGUCUGUGUUGAGGACUAAAUUAAUUGGGCUUAUGGAAGCAGGGAGCCACUGAUAGGUUUAAUUAGAGACUGACAUGAUAUGAUAGUUUAGGUGGAUUUCUCUGGGGGCUGUGUUGAGGGACAGUGGGGAGGAGAGCUAGAAGGAAGAAAAGGACACAUGCAUAACAGAAGCAAUAUCUGUCUAUGGGAUGGUGGAAAGAAUCAGAAAAGACUUAAUAAAACAUGUGACACUUUAACUGAAUCUUGAAAUAGACAAGUGUUGGAGGAGGGAGUUGGACCAGAUACUUCAUGCAAAGGGAAGAAAAGUGCACAAACAAAAUAUGAGAAACAAGGCAGACAGGCAUUUUUUUAAAAUUUUCGCACCCACUGAUAGACCAGUGAUGCAUUCACAUCGUCUGCAUUCAUGAUCAACAAAAGUGCUUUCCUAGAACAUGAACCUCAACCCAAGUGUCGCCUCAAGUAGUGUAUGCAUGAACUCAAGCAUUAAAUUAGAAUUGAUUUUUUAAAAAACUCACACAAACAGAUGUAUUAUUUAAAAAUCUUUAAAGCAGGUUUAAACAGUUUUCAGGAUUAAAAGCAGCCACUAUUAGAAAGAACAAAAAUACAUUUGACAUAAAUAUAAGGAGCCUCAAUAGAACCUCCUGUACCCAGUCAUUGUCAAUGCCACAUCCAUUCAUUCACCAGCCCUUAUAUCAAUGCUUGCUGGGCUCACUUACCACGAUCAGCACGUGCAUGUCCUUAUCUGAAAGCUUGCCACUCAAAUGUGCUCAGUCUUACCUGUGUGGCUGGGAGUGUUGGGGAUUUAAUGUCAAGGGAAAGAAUCUUCCAUCAAUGAAUGAUGAAAGUUAGUUUUCACAACUUCCGGUCCCCUUGGCCCUCAUCAAAGGGCUCCAGGUGAGGUUUGGGCUCCUUGCUAUCCUCCGAGUUUCCACGGUAGUUUUAAGCACCAUUGCCCGUGGUAAUGGCUGACAUUGAUACUGCACUUUUUUUUUAUUUAAGAUGGAGUUCCCCUCUGCCACCCAGACUGGAGUACAGUGGCGCGAUCCUGGCCAUCGCAACCUCCGCCUCCCAGAUCCCUCCUACAACACAUGAGAAUUGUGGGUGCUACAAUUCAAGAUGAGAUUUGAGUGGGGACAAAGUCAAACCAUAUCAUUAGAUAGGACACUGGAGAAAGGCAAGAAAGAAAAGACAUCUGAAGAAUGAAGGGAGCCAAAGAAAUGCCAACAUUUUGCUUUUUGAAGAAAAGCUAAAUUAAAGUCAAAAUGGAUUUAUCAAUUUCCUUGGGUUCGUGAAUGUACAGAACUUUAUUAAGACUGUCAUGCUGUCAUCAUGGCUGGAUCUGAUACGGCCACCGUGGACCUUGAGGUGACCUCGGGAAUGGAGACAGUGCAUGGGAGAGAAUCACAUUGGAAGGGGCCUGGGUUUCUGAAGACCCUGUAAGACAGAUCUCCUUGCAGCCCUGACUGCCCACAUUAGGGCUUUUAUGUUAGGGUGAAGUUACCUUGCAUUGUCAUAUAAGCAAUUGCUAUUUGUGGUGUCUUGCAAAUAAACCUAUUCUGAUCU
RNAcentral lists this long non-coding RNA (7898 nucleotides) under Homo sapiens (human). RNAcentral's name for it is "HSALNT0371201". Lineage: Eukaryota; Metazoa; Chordata; Mammalia; Primates; Hominidae. The record is from RNAcentral.